Molecule: long non-coding RNA, 878 nt
Filed under: Marmota monax (woodchuck)
Lineage: Eukaryota; Metazoa; Chordata; Mammalia; Rodentia; Sciuridae
Source: RNAcentral
UCCAUGUGAACUCUUCUUUAUAAACACCAAGAAAGGACCCCACAGUAUGAUCAAUCUCCCACACGAUUCCAUAAACCCUGAAGAUGAAUUUUUAUUGGAGGGUAGGGUGGGAGGAGAGAGAGAAAGCAAGUGCCUGCUCCAUCAUGAGUGCCACUUGUAUUUCUGCAGUUGAGGGCACAGACGGUGCCCAUCUUGGGAAUACUUCAGCCCACAGAUGAGCCCACACAGUACCCGUGAUAGCUGCAAGCAGGGAACAGGAAAGCUGGGACAAAUGUGACACUCACUUUAAGACUGCACAUUAGAGCCAUCAAAAGAUGCAGAAUGAGCCCCAAAGGAACAGAAAUAUGAGGCUCGUUUUAAGUUUUAAAAUCAGAUUUUAAUUCCUCUAGCAGAAAUGAGAGAGUUUUCUUUUUUAAGGCCUACAGUACCUCUACUUCCCAAUCUUUUCAGAGACCUACCUACUUUUACAAAUGAACAAAAAUAGAUGUGUUCACCAACCUCUAAAAUGCAGUAUAAGAAAUACAAAUUGCUUCUUUUGAGUUUCUUGCAACUCCACAUCUUAAAUUAGAUAGAAGGAAGCAGAUCCUUUAAGAAGGAAGAGAAGGUACUGCCUGAAGUUGUAUAAGAAAUCUCAUUCUAAAGUAGAAAGGUGUCACUGACAGAUAAAUGGGAAGCCUAAAGAAACUGAUAGAAGACAGAGGAGGGAAAAGGGAAAGAAGGGAAAGAAACAAGGAAGGUGAAGAGGAAGAAAGAGAAACAUGGUGGUAGCAAAGAAAAAGGAAUGGGAAACAGAAUUGAUUGGGCAGGUUACUUAUAUAGUAUAUCAGUGAAAUAGACUGCACUGCUUCCAUGAAAAACAAAACAACAUUAAAAAAAAA